RNAcentral lists this long non-coding RNA (1041 nucleotides) under Mytilus galloprovincialis (Mediterranean mussel). The record is from RNAcentral. Lineage: Eukaryota; Metazoa; Mollusca; Bivalvia; Mytilida; Mytilidae.
CAAACUGAUUUAAAACAAUAGUGGAACCUGUUCAUGCUGUUGAAAAGGUAUUUAUUCUAGACACUGAUAUCAGAAUAUUUGAUUUACAGUGUAUUUAUAUUGGUAUUUAAUUCAAUCUUAAAGGGAUAAUAGUUGAUCAUAUUUUUUACCAUAUGUUUACAUUUAUCGUCUUUCUUAAACGCCAUCGACCUAAUCAAAUUAUAAUAAACAUGAAUCUUAUUAAAAAAAAAAACGUAGGAUUAAAAGAAGGGAUAUAACUCCUCAUUGAGUAGCACAUCUGAAACUAAGAAGAAGGCGUACUAUUAUUUAUAUUUGGCAAAGGGUAUAUGUACAGUGCAGUUAUGUAGUCUUUAAAGGGAUCACCAGGUUCGGAUUCCUAAGGAAUACAUAUUGGUGACCUUCUGCUGUUGUCUGUUCUAUGGCCGGGUUGUUGUCUCUCGGAAACAUUCCGCAUUUCCAUUCUCAAUUUUAUAAUUUUACCUAAAUAAAAAUGGGGGUUCCCGCUUUGAUUUUUUUGUUGAUAUUUUCAUGAUUUAACAGACGUUCGAAGACAUCUGAAAGGACCUAUUUUGUUAGCGAAAAAUAAUACCCUUUAUCAAACAAAAUUAAGCAAUCACAAGUGGAACAUACAGACAGAAGAUUGGCAUUUUUAUGAGUACAGUAUAUUAUAUAUAAAAAUCAGUAAUAAGCAAUUUGUUGCCAAAUGCAUUCAGAAUGUGUUUUCAAUACUUUCUGCUUUAUAAAAAAAACUAUAUGAGCCUUUCAUAGACCUUUUCUGUUAUUUAUCAUCAAUCUUAAAUUUUUGAUGACAGUUUUUUGUAACAUAUGCCUAUUAAUAUCCCGUAAUUUAUAUAUUACAGUAUACAUGCUGACUUUCAAGGAGCUAAUCGCAGAAAUUGAGGCAUAUAUAUAGGUCGGUAAAAUUGGAAUAAAAUGUAAUGCAAUAACAAUUUAUACCAUAUAAAACGACGAUUAAACACUGCCAUAGAUAAUGUUCCCGAACGAAUAAGUAUAUCACGGACAGAAAUCAGAGAAUAACAC